Molecule: ribosomal RNA, 497 nt
Filed under: uncultured bacterium
Lineage: Bacteria
Description: partial 16S ribosomal RNA
Rfam family: Bacterial small subunit ribosomal RNA
Source: RNAcentral
GAUGAACGCUGGCGGCGUGCCUAAUACAUGCAAGUCGAGCGAACAGACGAGGAGCUUGCUCCUCUGACGUUAGCGGCGGACGGGUGAGUAACACGUGGAUAACCUACCUAUAAGACUGGGAUAACUUCGGGAAACCGGAGCUAAUACCAGAUAAUAUAUUGAACCGCAUGGUUCAAUAGUGAAAGACGGUUUUGCUGUCACUUAUAGAUGGAUCCGCGCCGCAUUAGCUAGUUGGUAAGGUAACGGCUCACCAAGGCAACGAUGCGUAGCCGACCUGAGAGGGUGAUCGGCCACACUGGAACUGAGACACGGUCCAGACUCCUACGGGAGGCAGCAGUAGGGAAUCUUCCGCAAAGGGCGAAAGCCUGACGGAGCAACGCCGCGUGAGUGAUGAAGGUCUUCGGAUCGUAAAACUCUGUUAUUAGGGAAGAACAAAUGUGUAAGUAACUAUGCACGUCUUGACGGUACCUAAUCAGAAAGCCACGGCUAACUACGUG